This 253-nucleotide ribosomal RNA is filed under the name uncultured bacterium. RNAcentral describes it as "partial 16S ribosomal RNA". It matches the Rfam family "Bacterial small subunit ribosomal RNA", at positions 524 to 776 of the family's 1533-position model. The record is from RNAcentral.
UACAGAGGGGGCAAGCGUUGUUCGGAAUUACUGGGCGUAAAGGGCGCGUAGGCGGCCGCCUAAGUCAGACGUGAAAUCCCUCGGCUCAACCGGGGAACUGCGUCUGAUACUGGGUGGCUUGAAUUCGGGAGAGGGAUGCGGAAUUCCAGGUGUAGCGGUGAAAUGCGUAGAUAUCUGGAGGAACACCGGUGGCGAAGGCGGCGUCCUGGACCAACACUGACACUGAUGAGCGAAAGCCAGGGGAGCAAACGGG